RNAcentral lists this long non-coding RNA (307 nucleotides) under Fukomys damarensis (Damara mole-rat). RNAcentral's name for it is "lncRNA (ENSFDAG00000032914.1)". Lineage: Eukaryota; Metazoa; Chordata; Mammalia; Rodentia; Bathyergidae. The record is from RNAcentral.
CCCUCAGCCACCCACAGUCCACAGGAAGUCACUGUUGCCAGGGGAGCGGAGGUCAGCGAGGCAGCUGUGAGUGUCGGACCACAUGGCACCAGCUGCUGCUCUGUGCAGCGAGGGAAGGAGGGCUUCCUGGAGGGGCAGAGCCCGCACGGAAGGAAAGCGCCUUCCUCCUAGGGUAGCUCUGCCAGGGCAGAUGGGUCACAGUUGGUGCUGGUCACUCUCCUGGCUUCCCGGCUCCAGUCUCUGCCCAGCCUCUGCCUGCCCUGGUCCUAGGGGCUGCCCCAGGGAUUGCACCACGGUCACAACCCAC